ACCAGUAGCCAUAUCAUCCUGCAGCCCAAGACUGGUUGCCCACUGAAGCUAAGUAGGGUUGAGCCUGUCAGUACCUGGAUGGGAGAUCUCCUGGGAAAACUAGGUUGCUGCUGGAA
Molecule: ribosomal RNA, 116 nt
Organism: Sinocyclocheilus rhinocerous
Lineage: Eukaryota; Metazoa; Chordata; Actinopteri; Cypriniformes; Cyprinidae
Source: Ensembl